This 73-nucleotide transfer RNA is filed under the name Babina holsti (dagger frog). RNAcentral describes it as "transfer RNA-Leu (UUR)". It matches the Rfam family "tRNA". Rfam says of the family: Transfer RNA (tRNA) molecules are approximately 80 nucleotides in length. Their secondary structure includes four short double-helical elements and three loops (D, anti-codon, and T loops). Further hydrogen bonds mediate the characteristic L-shaped molecular structure. tRNAs have two regions of fundamental functional importance: the anti-codon, which is responsible for specific mRNA codon recognition, and the 3' end, to which the tRNAs corresponding amino acid is attached (by aminoacyl-tRNA synthetases). tRNAs cope with the degeneracy of the genetic code in two manners: having more than one tRNA (with a specific anti-codon) for a particular amino acid; and 'wobble' base-pairing, i.e. permitting non-standard base-pairing at the 3rd anti-codon position. The record is from RNAcentral. Lineage: Eukaryota; Metazoa; Chordata; Amphibia; Anura; Ranidae.
GUUAGUAUGGCAGAAUAUGGUUAUGCAAAAGAUCUAAGACCUUUGAACUGGGGUUCAAAUCCCCAUAUUAACU